Molecule: long non-coding RNA, 2603 nt
Organism: Sardina pilchardus (European sardine)
Lineage: Eukaryota; Metazoa; Chordata; Actinopteri; Clupeiformes; Clupeidae
Exons: 2
Source: RefSeq, a predicted model, not a curated record
UGUGGAGAAGCCUGUGCCUUGUCUGGAAUGAUUCAUCAGGUUGAGAAAGACACCAGGAUAGCACUCAGCCUACCGGGAGUGUUCACACCACACCUGACCCCUCUCUCCCUCUCUCUCUCUCUCUCUCUCCCUCUUUCUCUCCCCCUCCCUCCCUCGCUUGAUGCCGGGCAGGGGAGGCAACAGAGAAGGACGAUCCGAACGGUGCUCCCAUCCCCACACAACAAACGGAAUAGUGGUGGACGGGAACAUUACGCAUUUCUCAUGGAAUCUGAAGGCGUGAACUGAACUCUGCCUCACUGUUCAUAUCCUCAUUUGAACUUGGCGCAGUGUGGUAACAGCACGUAAAAUCUACGGGCGAGAGCAGCCACAGGUCACAGCUGGACUGCAGCUGGGGGAGCAUCUGGUGCCUCAGUCUGGCGAUGAUGGGGAGGGUUCCUGGCACCGUGAUUUGGUGGACAAACAUAAACAAAAAUCACAUUGCCAGGGAUUUCCACCCCUUCAUUGCUUUCCAGGUGUGUGUGUGUGAGAGAAGAGGACGCUCGCUGUUGGCAUCGGCGUGUCCUCCUCCCUGGGGCACAUGGGCACACACCCCUCGGACUCUCUUGGACGUCGGAACAAGUGGCAUGACGAGGACAAAAAAAGGUUGCACUGCUCUAAAUGAAUAUGGAGGAGGUCACCCAUUUGGCGGAGAUUUGAAAGAUACCAGGCUGAAGCUACGGCCUUAUUAACCCAAACCCAAACCCAAACUUGGGAUCUGUUAGCUGCCAAAACAUGCUUAUUUGCAUUAUAUGAGAAUUGAAUUUUACAGAUGUGAGAUUUGGGUAAAUAACACAUUUAAUCCGUAGGAGCGCGGAAUGACUGUGAAAUAGGUCUGUUCCUUCUCAGUGGUGGGGGACUUCUCACUAGAUUUACUAUUGAAUGAGCGUAAGCUAUUAUGCUGUGCAGCACAGUGUGAAGUUUAUGGAACAGGCAGCUACGAUUGUGAUGAGUGCGCAAUGUCUGCCCCUCCAUACACAAUAUUACUUUAACCAGCUCCACAUCACCACCCACAACCCAUCCACAAUCACACUCAACUGUACAGCGCACGCAGGCGAGCUGUACAUCACAGCUGGUGUAGCGCUCUCUCCUCCGUAUCUCCAUAGGUCACAACACAUCCUAUAACAUCACUUGCUAAAGGCACAGAGCUUAGCUGAUUGGUGAGCAUUGAUCCCUAAAACAUACUGUUCACAGUGGCUAAGUUCAGUGCCUGCAGUGAAAUAGUUGAUAGGAUGUUUUAAGAGGCCGUGCCGGAGAGCCGCUCGCCUCGUUGUAAAAGAAGAAGGCAGAGUUAAUCACAGGGCUGCAGGAAGCCCACUCACUGAUGUGGGCUCGGCGUCAGCGGCGGCGGCCGUGCCGCGCACAUUUCCUAUAAAGACCGAAGGAAUGCUCUGCAAAUGUCAAGCCAGUUGCGGCAUGCAGUGGGCCCGUCCCCUCCAGUCAGCGCCCAGCCUUGAACGAGGCCAUUCAUUUAUGGGGAUAAAAAAAAAUGGACACGCCCCACUUUUCCUUUUCCUGGAGUGUUUCAUGGCGUCCUCUGACUAAUGGAUCGAGCUUGAUGCGCAAGCAGCUUCACUUUUGUGAUGGAGUUGCCCAUUUCUGCUGCUCUGCGAGCCGCACAAAGACAGAAUAAACAUGCAUAUGUUUUGUAUGCACACCCUGCCUUUUCCCUGCCCAUCUCUGUCUCUGUGAAAACACCUCUGAAUCAUUUUGUUGUCAUUACCUCACCUAGUAGCAAUACCACCCUGCACUUUGGUACACGCAUCCCAUUUAAUGUGUCCGAAAGAAUUGUGCAACAGCCUGUACAAAGGGCCUUCGGUUCACUUGCCUCUGUUUUUCCCCAUCCUGAGCUCAGAGGGCUGUGCGUGAAUCCACCGUGAACCGGGUUAUGACCUUCUGUGCCUACUGAACUGGUAUCAGUGUGUCCUCAAAAUACUGGCUCAGUUCAGCAGGAACAGGAGUGCGGCCUACUGCUCCCACAUCAGUCCCACCACUCAUCAUCACUGGCCGGAGUGCCACGCGACCACUGCAAGCAGCCGCAGAAAGGUCAGGCGAGUUCAGCUAUUUGCUUGGCCGAGGGCCAGCGAGGUUCAAGUCAUAUAAUUGGCCGCUCCGAUCUGUGCAUUCCAUUUGGCGGUUCUGACCCCUAGACAUAAAGGACAGUUCUCAUAGACGCGGCCCUGAUAAGAACAUGAAUAUUUUAAAUGAAUAUUUGAUUAGGUGUGUGACGGGGACUCAGAGCUGGCUUGUGGGUUGUGAUGAAUUAUCUGCAAACACAUGCCGUUUUGCUUCUUCACAAGGCCUUUAAAGAUCACAUCAGUAUCCACUUAGUUUUAUGAGAGCACAAACAGGCGUGAUUUGAAAGACGUCUCAGACCUAGCCAUGAACUGAAGGUCUUUGUGGAAUAAUCCUUUGGUCAAUGUUUGUACAAUUGUUCUUCACACAAGAUGUCACAAUUUUCAAAAAACUGGAAUGUGUGCAAUGUGAUCUCAUGUUCUUUUACGGAAAAGAUUAUGUCAAAUUACUGUUGGUGAACUUCAGAUAAACUUUUCUUGAAUUGACUCCCA